Molecule: long non-coding RNA, 738 nt
Filed under: Homo sapiens (human)
Lineage: Eukaryota; Metazoa; Chordata; Mammalia; Primates; Hominidae
Description: HSALNT0341752
Source: RNAcentral
AAGAGAGUGAUGCAUUUAAGUCAUUAAUUAUAAAUUAAGUUAUUUUUGGAUAUUAAUGCUAUGUAAUUUGUAGAUUGAAAUAUUCAUUAGUAUAGAACUUGGGCUAUUUUAAUGUAUCUGCACUGAGUUGAAGACAUAUUUUACUUGAAUACUUGGGCACAAGAAAACAGACUGUCAUGUCAUCUACCAUUGUUACACUAGUGCAUCUUUCUCAGCUCACAACUGUGGUUUUGUGUUUCCUUCUAGACCUGCUGGCAGAAAAGGAGAAAUGCUGUACGAGGUUUAUGAAUAGAACACAGCACACAAGAAAAGGUGUCUGUCUUUCCUGUGUAAUGGACAGGUUUUGAAUCGUGGGCCCAGAAGGAUUGUCUGAAUUAUAAGGAAUGUCCAUUUGUGCUUUAGCAACUUGAAGCUUCAGUGAAAAGAAUCAGAACACAGAGAAAACUUGCUGCUAGGACAAAAAUGAAGGAAAGAAUCAUCCCAGGAUGGUGAUACUCGGGUUACAGGCUCACAGGCAGAAGGGACUUGGCCUUUCUCAGAUGAGACUUUGGACUGUGGACUUCAGAGGUAAUGCUGAAAUGAGUUGACUUUGGGGGGACUGUUGGGAUGGCAUGAUUGGUUAUGAAAUGUGAUGACAUGAGAUUUUGGGAGGAGCCAGCUACCGCUCAUAAGGUUUCACUCUCUGUCCCCACUCAAAUCUCAUCUUGAAUUGUACUCCCAUAAUUCCCAUGUGCUAUG